CAAAGGGUGGGGCUAAAAUAAUAAACUCAGCUGAAUAUUGCAUUUUUUAAGGUCACGUAUCUGUUCUAAAAAGGUGUUCAAAAAAUGCGAUGACGUCACACUGUCAGAGGUACUGCUUUACGGCAGUUUCUGAAUCACUUCGGCACUUCCUUUUUCCCCGCCACGUGGAGGUAAGGCUUUUUUUUUUGCUUAAUGCACUUGUUAGAGUUUUAGUGAGUUAAUGUCAAAACAACAAAUGGGCGAAUGUUUCACAUAUGUAUGUUACUUACAGAGUGUUUUUUUUCUAUCUAGUGCUAGCUGAUAUCAGCUGACUGGAUGCUGGCUGUCGGUUGAUUAUCGGCUAUGUAGCCUAGCCAAUUUAUGGUGGCUAUUGAAAAGUAAAAGAACGGAAUAAUUUGAAGACCGCUCCAUCUAGCUCCCUCCACAGCCAGACACAGCAACGAUCCUCCAGCUCCAUUCAGGCCGUGAAGGUGGACAGCUUUCUCUGAGCUGCUUUGGCCGUUUGCUGUUUGCUCAGCCUCCUGUUCCUCUCACGGAUUUCCCCCCCGAGCCUGCACAUCACAAAUUUUUUUAUUGCUAUUGUCUCCAAUAGAAUUGCAUGCUCAGGGUGUGAGCUGAAGAGGCUUUUGAACACCCCCAGACUGCCCAGAGCCCUCUCCAUUUUUUUGGUGAUCUGGGUGAGAGGCCAGAAAGCGUCGAUGUUCCGUCCAAAUUCCCUCUCCAAAAGCUGGAUGGCAGCGAAAAACCCUUCCGAAGGCCUCAUUAGGUUUGCCGUUGCCGUGUAUUUUUUUGCCUCCAGGAAGGGGUGGUCCUCACUUGUGGCGUAGCUGUGGUCCUGAUGUCUGGCACCCAACAACAGCACCUCACAGUGUGGACAGGCCUGAACAAUUUCCUCCUUUUGAAGGACCCGGACAAGCCAGCCAGCAACGUAGAACAGGCCCUCCUCCUGGAUGCAAUCGCCAACAGUCUACAAGGUGGUAGGGAGGGCCAUUGAGGUCAUUGGAGCUGUUGAGGUGGAGGGGAUUGCGUCCUCUGACAUACUGGCUAGGAGGGUUGUCCCGUCAUCCAGCUCGCAGUUUGAUGCAGUCGAUGCAGAAAGAGCAGAAGGUGAGGGACAUCAAAAAUCACAGGAACCCUCUGAACCCCCACCAGGAUACAGUGGGACUCCUCACCUCCCAGAGGGUCCAGGCUAGCCCCAAGGUUCCGCACAGCCUUCACAUUAGGGCUUCCCUGGUCACAUAUUACUGCCUGCACCUUUGAAAUUGGUUAAUACAUUGUUGUCAAUACAAGGUUGGAGUUAAUGUUCAUUUGUUCAUUGUUAAUGCUGCUAUUUAAAAAAUAAAUAAUAAUACAACUCUUCGCACUACAUACUGUCAGCCCUAUAUGAUGUAGGUGGCGAAUGGCAUCCUUAAUGACGGUAGCAAUAUCAUCUGCUGGCAUUGAAGAUGGGGAAAAGAAGUAACCAACCGUCUGUUGAAAGAAAUGCCUUAGGACGAGCGUACACAUCCUCUCCACAGGGGUCAUGGUGGCGGCGAUGACUCCCAUUUGGGAGAUGAUUCCCUGUAGGAAGCCAGGCUGUCAGGAAAUAAAAG
This is a long non-coding RNA of Gadus macrocephalus (Pacific cod), 1592 nucleotides long. RefSeq lists it as uncharacterized. NCBI's taxonomy places the organism in Eukaryota, Metazoa, Chordata, Actinopteri, Gadiformes, Gadidae. The transcript is spliced from 5 exons. The record is from RefSeq and is a predicted model, not a curated record.